Molecule: non-coding RNA, 402 nt
Organism: Pelobates cultripes (western spadefoot toad)
Lineage: Eukaryota; Metazoa; Chordata; Amphibia; Anura; Pelobatidae
Source: the annotation of a GenBank genome assembly
UACAAAACAUUUGGCUUAUAUACUAAGUCUGUUCUGAAUUCAAUAUUAUAGUGCCAGUUCCUGAUUUAGCUUAUGCUCAGCAUAGCCUGGUUUCCUAAUAUCCCCCACUAUUUUAACUCCCACUAUUAAGUGUAAUUUUGCCUUGUGUGGGUAGUAGCGUCACAGUACUCCAGUUAAAUCACCGUAGCUAGUCGCACUCUGUAAACCUCCGCAGUAUUACAAUCUGUGAAACAGGCUGUGAGCUGAACGAAAAACUGGCAUGGAUAUUUUUGUGUAGCUUGACAGUAGAAGGAGGUGUGUGGGUACCACUAAGAGGAAAGGAGGGACUGGUAUGGUAUGACACAGAAACACACUGACAUGGAAAAAAGGAAAAUAUAGAAAAAAAUCUGUAUGUUUAUAAAA